Arachis ipaensis is the source of this 4524-nucleotide non-coding RNA. The record is from RefSeq and is a predicted model, not a curated record. NCBI's taxonomy places the organism in Eukaryota, Viridiplantae, Streptophyta, Magnoliopsida, Fabales, Fabaceae.
GAAGUUACUGAACCCUAAUUCCCUAAAUCAAUCCCCGUAACCCAUCUUCUUCCCAAACUCAUCUCUCUUCUCUUCUCUUCUCUGAGAACCAUAGAAGCCACCAAGAAGUACGCCACUGCAUCCCCCCGCCGCCACCGCAUCCCCCACCGCGUCGCACAUCGCCGAGCUCCCUUCUGUGUGUUCGCCGAAGUCGCGUCCUCUGUCGUCGCCGUUGCUCGCCUUUCAUGUUAUCCUCCCCGUAAGCGUAAACGGUAAACCCAUCUCCUCUCCUCUCUUCUCUGAAGACUGAAAGUGAACCAUAGAAGCCACCGCAGCGACAGUUUUGAGUACUGCAGCCCCACAGCCCCCACCGCGUCUCUGUAAUCGCCGAUCUCGCCUUCUCUGUGUUCGGCUAUUCGCCGGUGUCGCGUCCUCCAUCGCUCGCGUUCCUCCUCGCCGACCUCGCCUUCUCUGUGUUAAUCGUUGGAUCGGGUCAGUUGGUUCAACCUGUAAUCCACCGGUUGAACUAGUGACCUGAUAGUCUCGAUCACCGGUUUGGUUCUGACAACUAUGCCUUAUGCUACUCUUUGGCCCCUCCGGUCUUCCCUCUCAAAAACGACGCCGAAUUUGGAACGAAGCUGCAUCAUCAGUCACUUGACAUCGGCACCGUCUACCUCUGCCUGGUCCGACUUGCAGAAAGUACUAGCCUUAACCUUACACAGUUGGCACUUCUUCAUCAUAUCUACCUUCUCUGUUUUGAACCGUGUUCAUCAUGCCUCAGUCUCAAAGAAGAUACAUUCAGAGAAGAAGAAAGCUAGGGCCUUCCACGAAAUGCAGGCCAAGGUUGAGAAAGAGAUGGACAGUGUUUAAGGUUGUUGAAGAUGGAAACCUGACUCUUACCCUUCAGGAGGCAAAUUGAGACAGUAGAUGAAGAGGAUUGUUAUGCAGAGAUCCUAAAGAAUGCUAUUAUCAUGUGAGAUGAAUCAGCACUCCCAUGAGUGGAUCCAGCAACAACACAAUCGCUACUAAAGGACUGCUCAUGCCAAGGGACAGCAAAUAGGAGAAUAAGGCUAAGGAUUCCAAAUAAAGGAUUUGUCCUCCUUUAGCUACCGUAAUUUGUUUCCAAGGUUCAAUGCCAUAGUUUUUCUUAUUUUGUUUGUUACAGUAUAGAACUUGAGUUCAGGCUUAUUAGUCCUAAAGAUGAUUGGUGUGAAUCAUUUAGUACGUAUCCCAUGACCUAUGAUCCCUGUUUUUGAAUGGUGCCACAGGUUUCAUCAAAUUCAUUUAAAAAAUUGUAGAGUCUGCUAUGAUUAUUUCUACGUGUUUUUAAAAUUAAAUAUAUUUUUUAUAAUUGCAGCUGGAGUAUUAGUAUCAAGAAAUUAAAUAUAUUUUCUCAUAUCUAAUUAAUGAACAACAUUGUGGAUUGGAUUGGACUGACAAUAGCUUAGUGGUUAGUAGAAUCACUACUUUUCUUAACAAAUGAUAUUUGAGAAGAGAAAAAAUCUCGACAGAUAUGAGGAGGAAUAAUUUUCGUAACUUAUAUGUUUAGUUGUAGAUAAUUACCAGCUAAUUGAAUUUAUCAAACAACUUUCUUUUAACAUAGUAAUUCACAGAAAUGUGUAUUCAAGCUAUGUGUAUUCUUACUGUAUGUGCUUCAAGAUGUUAUUUUACAGUUAUAAGUUGGUUUACCCAUGGCUCUUUAGUAAACAAAGCUCAAAGCUGCAAGAAUGCACAUUUAUGUCAGGCUGGCGUAGCAAAGAUGCUAUCCUGGAAGAGGAACAAGAAAUACCAACUCAGGUAGGAAUACAACAAUCUUUUCAUAAAUCAUAUGAUGGAGUUUAGCACACAGAGUACAUCAUUUUCUGUCAGAUACGUCGACUAUGUGGCUAAUUUACAAGCAUGGAGGAUAAAACUUUUGAAACAUAUAAUUAAAAUUAAAUAUCAAAACACAUGGACCACUGUGAUUGCAAAAAUACAUGGACCACUAAGUUGAACAUUAGAAUUUACCACCAAAUUUUGUGAAUAUUUUGAGCGUUUUUUCCCAUUUGUUUUAAACUCUUAUCUUUUUGGCUUUUGAGAUGAUGCAUGAUGAUAGGAUACUAUUUAGCAUUUUUGAAGAAAUGAAUUUAUAUAGAGAGAGAAUAUGAUUUUAUAUGUGAUUUUGUAUGAAGAAAUCUUAAAGAUUAUAAGACAUUGUAUUAACUAGCCUUUUAAUUAUAUAUAUCUUACAUUAGGACUGAUUUGUUUCUCCUUUUUUUUCCCUGUUCUCUUUUUUGUACUUCUUUGGACAUCUGUUUGAUUCUACAAAAUGAUAUCAAUGCAAGUUUAUAGAUAGCUAGAUUAAUUUGUAACAAUCCAUUCAGUUUCCAAACAAUAUAAAAAAUAAAAAUUGUUCAUAGUCAAAAUGAUGCCUAAAGAGAUCAUGUAUAUGUUAAUGAAGCUUUUCAAAAACUCAGUGUCUAAAUUUGAUUUACCAAAUAUAUUAAGUUUGUCUUUUAAUUAAAUUUUUAUUAAUACAAGUAUUUUUGAUUAAAUUGAAAGUUAAAAUUUUCAAAAAUCCAAUUAAAUUACAUAAAUUGUAUAGCCGUAAGGUUGGUGAUAUGCAAUGAUACGACAGCAGAUGGGAGAAUACACAUAUAUGAGGGGAAGAAAAAAUUUCUUGGUGCAAUUUCCUUCUGUGCGAUUUAAUAACAAAUUGUGCCCUGUAAUCAUAUAUUUCAAAAUUAAAAAUAAACAACAAAACUGAUUGAAUGGAUUGCCAACGAAGUCCAAAGCUUCUUUGUGUCCUUUGUUGUGUGUGUUAUUGUGGUAAUGUUUUGGCAGAGAAGAUACAGAAUGUAGUAGGUCGAUGCUGCUGUUAGAAGAGUGUCUGGCAAAGGAAAGAGAAGAUGGUGGCAAGUGGAAGAUAGAGUGGUUCGGAAGAAGAGGAGAGGAAGGAGAAGCCAGUGAAGGGUGAGAACAAGAUCAAGCACAAAAUGAAGAUUGAUUCAUAGUUGGAAGUUCUGGAGAAAACUUAUGCUGGUAGGUGAAAGUAUUUUAACCAUUUUUGAACAAUAUUGUAAUUUUCCUUUUCUUUUGUUGGUUUUUUUCCACGGUUUUCGUGUUGUGCAUUUUUUUGGUUCAGGGGAGGCUUACCCUUCAGAAGUAGUGCAAGCUAAGUUAUUUUGAGAGUACUUUCGAGUAUUGCUACCUGCACUACUGAAGAUCAGUUUAGAGAUUAAUGCCAUCAACCUACUCAAAAGAGAUAUCUUUGGCAGAGCUUUAGGGACUACUUGAUGAGAAAGAGGCGAAGUUAUCACACUACAAGAGGUAAGCAUGUUCAAUUCUCUCAAGACUCUAAUGAGAUAUAGAUAUUGAUUUUGUUAAUUAGUUGUGAUUGAAGUAUGGAAGGGAGUAUUAGUUCAUUGAGCAAUUUUGCGAGAUGAAAAUUCUCAGAUGUCAAGAGGCAUACAUCCAUCUCCUGGCAUUGGUAAUUGAAGCAAGUAAUGCUGAAGAAAUGGAUGAGGAACAUUUUUGUACAUAUUCGGAACUUCAACGAAGAAACAGAUUCGAUUUGUUGACAUACUAUAGUCGUCUUUUUGUGGCAGCUGAUAGCCUGACAAGGAUUAUACCAUGUUUAACUUAUGAAAAACUUGAGAUCCGAGAUUAUUGAUGCUGAUAUUAUGAGCUGGGCAAACAAUAAAGUGAAAAAAAAGUUUCAAAGUACUCCCAUAUCACGUCUGAUUGGAAGUAUCUACAGCAAAAAUGUUUUGCAGCAGGAGAUAAAACAGGUUGGUUUUGGACAAACUCAAAUACUCUCACCUACUCGACUAAAAGCGGGUAUGAAUGGCUAUUGAAGAAGAAAUUUGGCUGGAAUGAUAAUGAAAAUUGGCUUUGGCUUUGGCGCUUGAGAAUACCGGAGAAGAUAAAGUGUCUGCUCUGGCUUUGCCUCGACAACGGAGUUCCCACAGCUAGUUACCGAUUUCAAAGAGCGGCCUUUUGGUGGAUUUGGAGGGAUAGGAACAAUGAUAUCUUCCAUCAAGAUGAUCCAUGGAGUAAAGAGAAAAUUGUUCACUUAGUUAAACAUGCUGCUCGAGAUUUCUCUAAUGUUGUUAUCAACCAAAAACAUAUUAUUCCUUCUUCUUUGAAAUAUAACUGGGAACCACCUCCAAUGAAUGUUUGUAAAGUGAACUGCGAUGCAAGCGUUUUUGAAAAUGAGCAAUUAGCUGGCUUUGGAUGUAUUAUUAGAGACAGCAUGAGAAUUUGGAUAAAAGGUUGUUCUGCCAAUAUACCUCUUUCUAGUGUUCUCUGUUGUGAGCUUCAUGCUAUUUGGAGAGGGCUUGUUAUGGCUUGAGAUUGCGCGUGCAAAGAUGUCAUAUGUGAAACUGAUAAUCUUGAUGCGUUUCUUCUUGUUUCGCGAGGCACAACCAGCAUGAUUAGGAAUGUCUCUGAUCUGCUUGACAAAAUCAAAGAGAUGCUCAGCGCAAUUGGACAGCUACUUUAGUGCUCAUCCAGCGAGAGCGGCUGAUUUAAUGGCUAAGACUGCUAUUUUAAACAAGCAGGUGU